This 117-nucleotide non-coding RNA is filed under the name Candidatus Zhuqueibacterota. RNAcentral describes it as "Candidate division SAM-I sequence". It matches the Rfam family "SAM riboswitch aptamer (S box leader)". Rfam says of the family: The SAM riboswitch is found upstream of a number of genes which code for proteins involved in methionine or cysteine biosynthesis in Gram-positive bacteria. The SAM riboswitch acts at the level of transcription termination control. The predicted structure consists of a complex stem-loop region followed by a single stem loop terminator region. Lineage: Bacteria; Pseudomonadati. The record is from RNAcentral.
AGCUAUCGUGAGUGGCGCGAGAGCUCUGGCUCUUUGACCGCCCGGCAACCCUGCGCGAUGGCUUCGCGCGGAAGGUGCUAAAUCCAGUCCCGAGCAAGGUCGAGGGAAAGAUAAGCG